CCGAGUGAGAAUACGCCUAAUAUGAAUUAUCUGAGGAUGACAAUUUAUAGAUGAAGCACCAGAAACUGACUUGCAGUCAGCGCUCAGGAGACACAUCUCAUUCCGGUGGUGAGCGAGGUCCAGCAGACAGCCCUGGCAACUUAAACACCGGCGUGCACAGCCGAGCGCGUUUCUAAUGUAAGACACUGUUAAAAAUAAAUUGUGCUGUUUCUGUGGAGAAGACAGCCUGCAAAGAGGAGCUUUCCGGCAGUGCCUACAUACAAGAGCGACAUCAUAGAUUUCCUGCGCUAUCGCAGCGAAGAGAGGGGGAGGAGGAGAGCGCUGAUUCACGGCUUGAAUUGAGGAAGGAGAGCCGUGCGGACGGGCUCUGGAGAUCCAUCUCAUAUACUAAAAUACCGACCCCCCCCCCCGCGCGCCUCCUCCUCCCUCGUCAUUGACAGCUUUGCGACCCGGUCAGUCCGUCAGACAGGGAGGAUCUGUGGAGGAGGGCGCCAAGGCAGGAGAGGACGAAAGGCGAUCACCUCUGGCCGGUUUGAUCCAAUCGCCAACACCGUGUAGGUUGGGGACCUGCCUCUCCCUACAUGAGGACGACACAGUGGCUGCACCGGGGGAUUUUGGACCGAGGAGCACGUUUGACCCAAGAGAUCCAAACAGCGAAAUUAUUCUGAGACUGUUGGCAGGCUGAUCUGAACGGCAAAACAAUAAUAAAGGGGUUGGACAGGAGCUAUUUCGCAGUCUCUACAUAAACUCCCCGGAAUACAAAUCCAGGUGGUGGGUGGAGAAAAAGCACAGCCCAGUGCUGGAUCCCAGAGGGACUGUCAGUGUGGUAAGGACCCUUGAGACGAAGGAGGGUGCAUGGAGGGUUCAAGGCCUGUAAAGCCAGGGUCGUCAGCCUUGCUUUGGUUGGGGCUGGUCUCUGUGGCUGUAGCCUUCCUUUGUACAGAGGCCCGGACCACUCCGAGCCCUCUACUUAGCCCCAGCAAUGCAACCUGCACAGGAAACUCCAAGUGUCAUGCAGGGAUUAUCCUGCCCAUCUGGUAUCCCGAGGAUCCCUCCAUGGGAGACAAGAUCGCACGGGUCAUUGUGUAUUUUGUGGCAAUGAUCUACAUGUUUCUUGGAGUGUCCAUCAUUGCAGACCGAUUCAUGGCAGCCAUUGAGGUCAUCACCUCCCAGGAGAAGGAAAUUGUCAUCAAAAAGCCGAAUGGCGAAACAACCACCACCACGAUCCGGGUGUGGAAUGAAACAGUCUCAAACCUCACCCUCAUGGCCUUGGGCUCAUCCGCCCCUGAGAUUCUGCUCUCUGUAAUUGAGGUUUGUGGUCAUGGAUUCAAAUCUGGUGAGCUCGGACCUGCCACAAUUGUUGGCAGUGCAGCCUUCAACAUGUUUGUCAUCAUUGGCCUCUGUGUGUCUGUCAUUCCCCAAGGAGAGGUACGCAAGGUCAAACACCUCAGAGUGUUCUUUGUCACUGCAGGCUGGAGCAUCUUUGCUUACAUCUGGCUCUACAUGAUUCUGGCUGUGUUUUCUCCUAAUGUAGUCCAGGUCUGGGAGGGUCUACUCACAUUGGCCUUCUUCCCGAUAUGUGUACUCCUUGCCUGGGUCGCCGACAGACGACUGCUCUUCUACAAGUUCAUGCACAAGAAGUAUCGCACAGAUAAGCACAGGGGUGUAAUCAUCGAGACGGAGACUGAGCGCUCCAAGGGGAUAGAGAUGGAUGGCAAGAUGGUCAACUCUCACUUCAUGGACGGAGGUGCGGCAAGCAACCUUAUUGGUUUGAUCGAGAGCAAAGAGGUGGACGAGUCCCGGCGUGAUAUGAUCCGCAUCUUGAAAGACCUGAAGCAGAAGCACCCAGAGAAAGAGUUGGAUCAGCUGGUCGAGAUGGCCAACUACUACGCUCUCUCGCACCAGCAAAAGAGCCGUGCCUUCUACCGGAUUCAAGCUACACGCAUGAUGACAGGCGCAGGAAAUAUCCUGAAGAAGCACGUCGCAGAGCAGGCGAAGAAGAGCAUUAGCGUGCAGGAGGUGCAUGUGGAGGAACCAGAAGAGUAUGUGUCUCGAAUUGCAUUUGAGCCUGCUGUCUAUCAGUGUCUCGAGAACUGUGGAGCCGCCAUUCUGACCAUCACCAGAAAGGGUGGCGACAUCAACAAGACGAUCUACGUGGAUUAUAAGACAGAGGAUGGCUCGGCUAACGCUGGGGCUGAUUACGAGUUCACAGAGGGUACAGUAGUGUUCAAACCAGGAGAGAUGUUCAAGGAAAUAAGCAUUGGCAUCAUAGAUGACGACAUCUUUGAGGAGGACGAGCACUUUUUUGUGCGGCUCAGUAAUCUGCGUGUCCUGGAGACUGAGGAUGAGGUGCUGUCCGCCAACAGUCUGCCAUACCCAAAGGCUAUUCUAGGUUCCCCCAGUGUUGCCACUGUGACCAUUCUGGAUGAUGAUCAUUCAGGCAUCUUCACCUUUGAGAGCAACUUAGUGCACGUAAGUGAGAGCAUUCGUAUUAUGGAAGUGAAAGUGCUAAGAACUUCUGGAGCAAGGGGGACAGUCAUUGUGCCUUAUCGCACCGUGGAUGGACUCGCCAAAGGAGGAGGGGAGGACUUUGAAGACACCUAUGGAGAGCUUGAGUUCAAAAAUGAUGAGACCUGCAAAGUUAUUCACGUGAAAAUUAUUGACGAUGAGGAGUAUGAGAAAAACAAGAACUUCUUCCUGGAGCUGGCCGAGCCUCGCAUGGUAGACAUGAGUCUGCAGAAAGAUGUACCAGACAGGAAGAUGACAUCAGACGAGGAGGAAGCCAGGCGCAUCGCAGAGAUGGGAAAACCAGUGCUGGGGGAACACUCCAAGCUGGAAGUCAUUAUUGAGGAGUCAUACGAGUUUAAGAGCACAGUGGACAAGCUGAUCAAGAAAACCAACCUGGCACUGGUGGUGGGAACAAACUCCUGGAGAGAACAGUUCAUGGAGGCCAUUACAGUCUCUGCAGGAGAUGAGGACGAAGAGGACACAGGGGAAGAACGGCUGCCGUCCUGUUUCGACUACGUCAUGCACUUCCUCACUGUCUUCUGGAAGGUCCUGUUUGCAUGCGUUCCUCCCACAGACUAUCUGAACGGCUGGGCCUGUUUCGUCGUCUCCAUCAUUAUCAUCGGCCUGCUCACGGCCGUCAUUGGUGACUUGGCGUCUCACUUCGGCUGCACCAUUGGCCUCAAAGACUCAGUCACUGCUGUGGUGUUUGUAGCACUUGGUACUUCUGUCCCAGACACCUUUGCCAGUAAGGUAGCAGCAGUCCAGGACACCUACGCAGACGCCUCUAUUGGGAAUGUGACCGGCAGCAAUGCUGUCAAUGUCUUCCUGGGAAUAGGCUUGGCCUGGUCAGUGGCAGCCAUCUACUGGCACAUGAAAGGGAAGCCGUUCGUGGUGGAAGCUGGCUCGCUGGCCUUCUCUGUCACUCUUUUCACCAUCUUCGCCUUCCUUGCCAUCUCGGUGCUGCUUUACCGGCGCCGAGCCCACAUCGGAGGAGAACUGGGCGGGCCCAGGGGACACAGACUGGCCACAUCAGCCUUUCUUUUCUGCCUCUGGUUCCUUUACAUCCUCUUCUCCAGUCUGGAGGCCUACUGUCAUAUAGAGGGCUUCUAAACAGAAAAGACCUCAGCGUGAGAGGAUACACACAUACAGGGGUUUAAAGUACAACUUCAGAGGUAAAAGAGUGAAUUCUCACUGCGGAAUUUGGGUCAGUCUUGUAUGGUAUGAAAGGACAGGAGAGGUAAACCCGGGGUUUUCCCAGACCUCCCUCCCUCUCCCUCUCUCUCUCCCUCAACCCCUUCUGUAAGGAUGCUUUGAGGUGUGUAUCCUGCCCUCUAGUGCCGACAGGCCUGUUCGCUCCGGCUAUAGGAAAGCCGUCCUGAGCCUGUGCGAGUGUGCUUACAGUUGGGAUUGGGUUACCACAGAGUCCAGAAGAUGCCGAUGCCAGGGUGGUCCUGCAUUCCACUGGAAGAGACUGAGGUCUUAUAUCUGGAGAGAGUUGAGUUAAUCAGAGUUUCCUAAGAAGCACUGCAGAGUUCUCAGAAAUCACACAAAGAUGAAGAGGAAGAGGAGCGACAGUGACAGUUCAUACUGGCAGAUGAAUCACCAUUCAAACAGGCGAGGAGGAAGAGGUGGACACUGCCCUGAACAUUACUUCCGUACUCUAUACGUAUCUAUAUAUAAUAUAUUUCCAUAUUUUCUGUAUAUUUUGAAUAUUUGUUUAAAUGUGGUCACCUUCUGCUCUAACAAUAGAGGAUUUCUGUGGCAAAGCGGGAGGGGAGGGGGGGUCAAACUAUAUACUGGAACGAUGUCUUCACAUUUCUAAGAGUUAUGUAUCUUGCCUAGGUAAAAGUACGACAUUGUAUUUUAUUUAUUUACUGAUAUCUUGGUCUCACUCGAGUUUUCACCUUUUCAAUCAGAAAUCUGAAAAAAGAAAAAAAACAUGUUGCUGCAGAGGUAAAUUCAGAGGUAUUUUUCUACUGUUCCUUCCAUGCACUUUGCUGUAUAGUUCUAUUUAUGGAGACUUCUACUUGUACUUGUGCAAAAGGCCAAUAUUGAAGGUGUCACUAUGGACUGAACAGAGUGCCUGUGGAGGGAGAGGCGUUUGCUGCAGCUGCCCACACCGACAAGCUCUUUGCUCAGUUGAAUAAUAAUAAGAGUUUCUUCCUAAAAUUCUGCAUAAGCAUUUUUAAAGCUGCAUUAAAAGAUUUUUGGCCACUUGGGGUCAGUAUAAAAAGCUGAAAUCACAACAUCUGCCAUGUUGUAACCUUAAAGAAAGCCAAAGUCCUGGUGCAUAAUAAUAACAUAGGCCUACUGUUGAGCUAGGUCUUGUAGUAAUUUGCAUUAUGACAAAUAUUAAUGUGAGAUUGAAUCAGGUUUUCUCACUGGAACAGCUCUUCUGUCACUCUGGCUCUAUAUAAAGUUGCUAUGGUGAAUGUGUUAGCAAACAAUUGCUUAUUUACACAUCCAGUAGAAACAGAGAAACAUAAGCAUUCAUUUGGAGAUGUUUCUGGCCACCUGGUGAAUGUAAUUCCAAUAGUCCCUCUCCUUUUAGCUCUGUUUAGUUCUCCUACAACUCCAGGGGGAAUAUCGUACUUUUUAGCUGCCACAUAUUGCACUUUUAUUUCACCCUAGAUGCUAACUUUGUUUGCUGUUUGGUGCUGGGCAGGAAUCAUACAGCGGAGUUAGCUAAAAUUGCUACUUAAUGGGGCAGGGGUGGUGGACUGG
This is an RNA transcript of Micropterus dolomieu (smallmouth bass), 5232 nucleotides long. It is a transcript of the gene named solute carrier family 8 member 3, with no coding region annotated. NCBI's taxonomy places the organism in Eukaryota, Metazoa, Chordata, Actinopteri, Centrarchiformes, Centrarchidae. The transcript has 8 exons. The record is from RefSeq and is a predicted model, not a curated record.